CCCGAUGGAGGGGGAUAACUACUGGAAACGGUAGCUAAUACCGCAUAAUGUCGCAAGACCAAAGAGGGGGACCUUCGGGCCUCUUGCCAUCGGAUGUGCCCAGAUGGGAUUAGCUUGUUGGUGAGGUAACGGCUCACCAAGGCGACGAUCCCUAGCUGGUCUGAGAGGAUGACCAGCCACACUGGAACUGAGACACGGUCCAGACUCCUACGGGAGGCAGCAGUGGGGAAUAUUGCACAAUGGGCGCAAGCCUGAUGCAGCCAUGCCGCGUGUAUGAAGAAGGCCUUCGGGUUGUAAAGUACUUUCAGCGAGGAGGAAGGUGUUGAGGUUAAUAACCUCAGCAAUUGACGUUACUCGCAGAAGAAGCACCGGCUAACUCCGUGCCAGCAGCCGCGGUAAU
Molecule: ribosomal RNA, 400 nt
Filed under: uncultured bacterium
Lineage: Bacteria
Description: bacterial SSU rRNA
Rfam family: Bacterial small subunit ribosomal RNA
Source: RNAcentral